ACAAUAAAGGUCGGUGUAAACCGGGAUCGCUAUACAAUAGACGUGGCUUCCCAUUGGAACAAACACGUGACUCUUAGUUUGAAAACUACUUUGAAUUAUGAAUUUUUCCAACACUUAAGCUUGAAAAUAGGCCAUUGAAGGACAAAAUAGUGAAAUAUGAACAAUAAGGCCCAGAAAACAUCAUGAACACCUCGAGAGGAACCAAUGUAAAUUAUGAAAACUUAUAAUUUAAUUGAGUGAGAUAAUAUUUAUUUUUAAUCAUACCUUCCAAAUAAGUAUGAUUAUAUAUUUUAUUAUUCAAAGUGUUGACAUCAUAAUUUUAUUAGUUCCACGAUGGUUCGUGAAGAAAAUUCAUGAGAAAAUAUGGUUCUUGAAUCAUUUUAUUUUAUUUUUUAAUCUUUUAGAAAUUAAAAUAUUAGUAUGAUUGAUGUAUACAUCUUAUGACAAGACUAGAAAGCACUUUGUGCUUCAUAAACUGUGUGAAGUUGCUAUUGUUAUGCUUCUAAUUAUGCCCAAAGCUCCUUAUGUUUGGUAUGAUGCCUUAGGUUGAAUCCUCCAAAUAUUAUUAUAAUAAGUAGGUUUACAAUUCAUUGAUUUAUAAGUUCAUAUAUAAGGUAUAUAUUUUGAAUUUACCCUCCUCUACUUUUAUAUUGUGCUUUCAUGUUUCAGUAUAAUUUGAAAAUCAAACCAAACAUGAAAUUUGAAAAUCAAAUUUGAACACCAGAGACAACGCUUAUGUUAGGUAACAGAUUCUUCUCAUGGAGAAGGAAAUUUUGGGAAAGCUGGAAUGAUAUAUUAGCAGAGUUACAAAGGAGAGAGAAAGAAGCAAAUAUUAAACCUGAUGUUGAUAUUGAAAUCUUCAUGAAGGUAAUAAAUGAGUGCUACCAACUUUGAAGAAUUUCCUAACAAAUGAUGUUUUGUGUUGAUACUAGUUGUUUUUAUAAACGAUUGUAUGAGUUCUCUUCUUAUGACUUGAAUAAUAAUAAUAACAUAGAUAAAGCAAGAAAUGUUUGAAUUUGAAUUCACUGGGUUCUAUUAAAAAUAGAGUUUAUAAUGUGUAGUUUCAUCUUUAGGUGAAUUUCAUGCUCCAAAAUUAUUAGUGUAGUUAAGGUGUUCUCUUCAACAUUUAGACGCAUUUCUGUUUUUAGAUUCUUUUAAGUCCCAUUGGAUUGAAGAUUUUGUUGAAAACAUGGGAUCACUGAACUUCUGAAUGUGGUGUUUAUGCAUGAAGUUAGGUUGUAGAAAAAGUAUUGCGGUUUGAAAACCAAGUAGAAAAAUGCACUUUUCUAAUACUUAGGCUUAAAAAUAGGUCAUCGGGUGCCAAAAUCGUGAAAUACCCAUGAGAAGGCCACGGGAACACCCCGAACACCUCAGGAGGGAUCAAUGUAAGUUGUGAAAACUUGUGGAACUAGCACGGGACUCCCAGUUUGAAAACUAAUUAGAAAAAUGCACUUUUCCAACACUUAGGCUUGAAAAUAGGCCAUCGGGGGUCAAAAUCGUGAUCCACCCACAAGAAAGCCAC
Molecule: non-coding RNA, 1522 nt
Organism: Camellia sinensis
Lineage: Eukaryota; Viridiplantae; Streptophyta; Magnoliopsida; Ericales; Theaceae
Source: RefSeq, a predicted model, not a curated record